AUUGAACGCUGGCGGCAUGCCUUACACAUGCAAGUCGAACGGUAACGGGCCUUCGGGUGCCGACGAGUGGCGCACGGGUGAGUAAUACAUCGGAACGUGCCCGAUCGUGGGGGAUAACGAGGCGAAAGCUUUGCUAAUACCGCAUACGAUCUACGGAUGAAAGCAGGGGACCGCAAGGCCUUGCGCGGACGGAGCGGCCGAUGGCAGAUUAGGUAGUUGGUGGGAUAAAAGCUUACCAAGCCGACGAUCUGUAGCUGGUCUGAGAGGAUGAUCAGCCACACUGGGACUGAGACACGGCCCAGACUCCUACGGGAGGCAGCAGUGGGGAAUUUUGGACAAUGGGCGCAAGCCUGAUCCAGCCAUGCCGCGUGCAGGAUGAAGGCCUUCGGGUUGUAAACUGCUUUUGUACGGAACGAAAAGCCUUCAUUUAAUACAGGAGGGUCAUGACGGUACCGUAAGAAUAAGCACCGGCUAACUACGUG
This 482-nucleotide ribosomal RNA is filed under the name uncultured bacterium. RNAcentral describes it as "partial 16S ribosomal RNA". It matches the Rfam family "Bacterial small subunit ribosomal RNA", at positions 30 to 507 of the family's 1533-position model. The record is from RNAcentral.